This 208-nucleotide unclassified non-coding RNA is filed under the name fungal sp. Its description in RNAcentral is "partial internal transcribed spacer region". The stretch from base 1 to 46 matches the Rfam family "Eukaryotic small subunit ribosomal RNA", at positions 1786 to 1831 of the family's 1831-position model. Lineage: Eukaryota; Fungi. The record is from RNAcentral.
AAGUCGUAACAAGGUUUCCGUAGGUGAACCUGCGGAAGGAUCAUUACCAAAUCCAAAACUCUUUAUAAACCCACUUGUGUGAAGUAACGAAAGAAAAAGAAACUUUUUUUUUCUGAACCAACAAGGAAUCUUUUUGUUUAAGCAAGAAAUUAUAAAACUUUUAGAGAAAAGAGAAAAACAACUUUUAACGGUGGAUCUCUUGGCUCGU